This 109-nucleotide unclassified non-coding RNA is filed under the name Chryseobacterium polytrichastri. RNAcentral describes it as "Flavo-1 RNA". The record is from RNAcentral. Lineage: Bacteria; Pseudomonadati; Bacteroidota; Flavobacteriia; Flavobacteriales; Weeksellaceae.
CCCUAGCCUCGAUAGGAACGGUUACCCCGCAGUAAGCGUUAGAGAAGUAGAGGGCUUGGGAGUUGGACCGAAUUGGCGCGAUGAGUAUGAGUGGAUAACGGGAAAUAGC